GACGAACGCUGGCGGCGUGCCUAAUACAUGCAAGUAGAACGCUGAAGGAGGAGCUUGCUUCUCUGGAUGAGUUGCGAACGGGUGAGUAACGCGUAGGUAACCUGCCUGGUAGCGGGGGAUAACUAUUGGAAACGAUAGCUAAUACCGCAUAACAGUAGAUAUCGCAUGAUAGCUGCUUGAAAGGUGCAAUUGCACCACUACCAGAUGGACCUGCGUUGUAUUAGCUAGUUGGUGAGGUAACGGCUCACCAAGGCGACGAUACAUAGCCGACCUGAGAGGGUGAUCGGCCACACUGGGACUGAGACACGGCCCAGACUCCUACGGGAGGCAGCAGUGGGGAAUCUUCGGCAAUGGACGGAAGUCUGACCGAGCAACGCCGCGUGAGUGAAGAAGGUUUUCGGAUCGUAAAGCUCUGUUGUAAGAGAAGAACGAGUGUGAGAGUGGAAAGUUCACACUGUGACGGUAUCUUACCAGAAAGGGACGGCUAACUACGUGCCAGCAGCCGCGGUAAUACGUAGGUCCCGAGCGUUGUCCGGAUUUAUUGGGCGUAAAGCGAGCGCAGGCGGUUAGAUAAGUCUGAAGUUAAAGGCUGUGGCUUAACCAUAAUACGCUUUGGAAACUGUUUAACUUGAGUGCAAGAGGGGAGAGUGGAAUUCCAUGUGUAGCGGUGAAAUGCGUAGAUAUAUGGAGGAACACCGGUGGCGAAAGCGGCUCUCUGGCUUGUAACUGACGCUGAGGCUCGAAAGCGUGGGGAGCAAACAGG
Molecule: ribosomal RNA, 763 nt
Filed under: uncultured Streptococcus sp.
Lineage: Bacteria; Bacillati; Bacillota; Bacilli; Lactobacillales; Streptococcaceae
Description: bacterial SSU rRNA
Rfam family: Bacterial small subunit ribosomal RNA
Source: RNAcentral